GGAUCAUCUGCUUCUGGACCUCGGUUGGCGUACUCUUUGAUGAAGCCAGAGUGUGUGUUGGAGAGGCCCUGAUGGCAAGGAACAGAGGGUGGCUUCCAGUCACCAGCAACUGAGGUCCUCAGGCCAACAGCCCUUAAAGAAUGGAAUCCUAUCAACAAAUGCGUGAAGGAGCUUGGGAGCAGAUUCUUGCAGAGCUGGAAUUACAGAUGAGGUCACAGUCCUGGAUGUGACUGGAAUCUUGUGAAAGACCCUGAGCCAAGAGACCCAGUGAUUCCUGACUCACAGAAACCAUAAGAUAAUAAAUUUUUGCAGUCUUAAGCUGCUAAUUUUGGGAAGAUAAUAGAUAACUACAGACUUUUAUCAAUAGACAACUGAUUACACUUAAGUUCCACAGGUAGAAAUGAGUCCCCAGUGAGAGAACAGAAGAAUGAGAGAAGCAAAAAUUGGAGUCUCCUGGAGAGUCAAGGUCUUAUAGAUUCUCCGAAGGAAAAGGAAUACUGUGUCAUUGAAACAGAUUCAAAAUAAGAUCAGUUUGUAAUCCGAAGCAAGAAGGUAAAACAGGACCUGUCUUCCAGCUCACCUCUGUCAACUUGCCUUUAGAGGCCACCUCGCCCCUCAAGGCUGCUCUUGACGCUAAAGGUUUAUCAGAACUUUAUCUCUGUCAGCUGGAAUAGGGAAUAAGCAUUUGUUAUUAGUGAUGAUCCUGGGUCUCCAGAGAACUUUCAGCUCUGUGCCCCAGAUGACUUAUUCCUUCCAGCCACAAGAAGUUCUGCUAAUGCCUCAGUUUAACCUACCCUGUCAAUCCGUGUUGUCCAAGAAGGUUUUUACUACAAUGAGAAGGAAUCUCUGGGUAUCACCUGCUGGGUACUAUGCCUCCUAAUUUUUACAUAGGUGGCACAUAAUCUGACCAGUUAAUGUA
Mustela erminea (ermine) is the source of this 919-nucleotide long non-coding RNA. RefSeq lists it as uncharacterized. The record is from RefSeq and is a predicted model, not a curated record. The transcript has 4 exons. NCBI's taxonomy places the organism in Eukaryota, Metazoa, Chordata, Mammalia, Carnivora, Mustelidae.